GUGCUCACUUCAGUAGCAGAUAUCCUAAAAUUGGAAUUAUACAAAGAUCAGCAUAACCUUGAUGCAAGGAUGAUGGGCAAACUCAUGAGGUAUUCCGUAUUUUA
This is a small nuclear RNA of Dipodomys ordii (Ord's kangaroo rat), 104 nucleotides long. Lineage: Eukaryota; Metazoa; Chordata; Mammalia; Rodentia; Heteromyidae. The record is from Ensembl.